RNAcentral lists this ribosomal RNA (272 nucleotides) under uncultured Herbaspirillum sp. RNAcentral's name for it is "partial 16S ribosomal RNA". It matches the Rfam family "Bacterial small subunit ribosomal RNA", at positions 505 to 776 of the family's 1533-position model. Lineage: Bacteria; Pseudomonadati; Pseudomonadota; Betaproteobacteria; Burkholderiales; Oxalobacteraceae. The record is from RNAcentral.
GUGCCAGCAGCCGCGGUAAUACGUAGGGUGCAAGCGUUAAUCGGAAUUACUGGGCGUAAAGCGUGCGCAGGCGGUUGUGUAAGUCAGAUGUGAAAUCCCCGGGCUCAACCUGGGAAUUGCAUUUGAGACUGCACGGCUAGAGUGUGUCAGAGGGGGGUAGAAUUCCACGUGUAGCAGUGAAAUGCGUAGAUAUGUGGAGGAAUACCGAUGGCGAAGGCAGCCCCCUGGGAUAACACUGACGCUCAUGCACGAAAGCGUGGGGAGCAAACAGG